UCGAGCGAGGUUACGGAUUGGGUAACUAAUUUGUAGCUUCCCGGCGGACGGGUGAGUAACGCGUGGGUAAUCUACCUUGGAGUUCGGAAUAACACCUCGAAAGGGGUGCUAAUACCGGAUAUCGUCCCAGGGGUUUCGGCCCCGGGGAUGAAAGAUGGCUGAGGCUUGCAAGCUAUUGCUCCAAGAUGAGCCCGCGUACCAUUAGCUAGUUGGUGGGGUAACGGCUCACCAAGGCAAUGAUGGUUAGCUGGUCUGAGAGGAUGACCAGCCACUCUGGAACUGAGACACGGUCCAGACUCCUACGGGAGGCAGCAAUGGG
Molecule: small RNA, 319 nt
Filed under: uncultured bacterium
Lineage: Bacteria
Description: bacterial SSU rRNA
Rfam family: Bacterial small subunit ribosomal RNA
Source: RNAcentral